This 301-nucleotide ribosomal RNA is filed under the name uncultured bacterium. Its description in RNAcentral is "partial 16S ribosomal RNA". It matches the Rfam family "Bacterial small subunit ribosomal RNA", at positions 512 to 810 of the family's 1533-position model. The record is from RNAcentral.
CAGCAGCCGGAAUACAGAGGGUGCGAGCGUUAAUCGGAUUUACUGGGCGUAAAGCGUGCGUAGGCGGCUUCUUAAGUCGGAUGUGAAAUCCCUGAGCUUAACUUAGGAAUUGCAUUCGAUACUGGGAAGCUAGAGUAUGGGAGAGGAUGGUAGAAUUCCAGGUGUAGCGGUGAAAUGCGUAGAGAUCUGGAGGAAUACCGAUGGCUAAGGCAGCCAUCUGGCCUAAUACUGACGCUGAGGUACGAAAGCAUGGGGAGCAAACAGGAUUAGAGACCCGAGUAGUCCCUGUCUCUUAUACACA